GGAGACCUGAGGCUUACACAUCCCGCUCAUUUAGCUCAACCUGAUGCACCUGAGGGCUAUUGAACUAGAAAACCCAGUAGUAGGGAGUUGGUUGGGAAGGAGGAUAGAUUCUUUCCUUGGAGAGCAUACAGGUUAUGAAUGUCAGGCAUUGGGAAGGAGGAGGUUUUAUACCCUGGGGAGCAAAGCCCUGCAAAGAAUACCCCUGCUGUGAAGAAGGAUAAAGUAGGAAGUAUCAGGGAAUGGAGGAACGUUCGCUUCAGCUGUUGUAUAUUGGAUCCCUGAGCUGGAACCCAGUAGAGUAGGCAGACUGGGUUCCCCUCCCAACACAAACCAAUAGGGGUGUGAUCUCACCAAAUGCACAGGUCAUCACCUUAGACUCUGGCAAAGUCUGGAGGAGAGCAAGCUGGACAGUCUGCAAUGCCUGGAUUUCUCUGGGAGGAGAGCUCCAAAAUGAACUGUAUGUUAGCUCUGCUCAGCUGGACAAGAGGAGAAUGGCAUCCAAGUGGGAAUUUUCUUACUCAGGUCUGGCAGCUGCUCUCAGUACUGCUGAUGCACAAACUGCUUCUGUAUGUUCCAACACAAUUUAGUGGCUCACCUUCAAGAGGAGAGGGGUACAGGGUGUCAGCAGCCCAAAGUAGCUUCGGCCUGGUGCCUACCCUCUGCUGCAUUUCCUGUUGGCUAGCUGCCUGCUCACCAUGCAGACUGUUGGAUUGGCAUUCUGAGGUGCCUGUCCUUCCCUGUGCACUGAAUACGGAGCCUAAAUACCUAACACAGGGUUUAUAUUCCAUGCUGCGGGUCAGGUGCUGGAGAACUUUGGCAUUGUAAACUCUCACUUGUAUUUGCUGCAACCCUGUGUUGGUUCAAAACCAAACUGUCUGCUCCGAGAGACAAGUAUUUCCUAUUUAACUAUAUGAACGCCUUGGACCAAAUUAAGAGUUAAACUUAGAAGCGCCAGGCAUUGUGCUGAGUGCUGUACGAACACAGAACAAGCCACAAGCCCUGCCCUGAAAAAAAGGUCCCAUGAGGAAAGAUGAACACGCUUCCUGUGCCUCUCCCCUGCACUGAACCCUCAGAUGAGACUUUUAACACAGAUACGCUCUUCCCAUAGUUAAUAGCAAAUCCCCUCAGUGAACUCUCUGAGCAAAUCAUGUUUCUGCCCUUCAGUUUCUUCAGCCAUCACUAUAUCUCUGAACUUUUCUUCCAGUGAGAUUGUACUUUGGACACUUAAAAAACAAACAAAAAGAGGCCAGAGAGGAUUUGAGGUCAGGACGCACUGACAUCACUUUCACUUCUCCUCUUGUUUAACCUCUCUGGUUAUCCUUUUGCAACAGAGAGGCCAUCUGUUACUGCUUUGUCUUUGUUGUUAAGGACAAAGUAGCUCAGAAACUCAAUUGCAAUUAACUUGUUCCUUGAAUUUGCGCUUCACUAGUUUUUUAGGAAUGAAACUUUUUCCUUUAAUGUUAAAAUGUUAGCAGUAUCUUGCUCUUGUACCCCCUGGUCCUCUUCCAUUAACGAUGAAUAAACAAUGUUUUUAAAUGAGCUGGUAUGGUAUGUUGUAUGAGUAAUGUACCCUAAUGAAGAACACUGGGACAGACGAAAUGCAAAAUAAUGUGCCACCAAAAACAUAUUACUCUGAAAAAUAUAGAAAGCAUCAAUAUAAAAACAACUCGGUUUGGAAUGUGGUGGCUACAUUUCUGCAGGCAGAAGAAAUAAAACUAACUUGUGGACAAAACUGCCCCAGCGUGUGUCUAGAUGUUGUUUAUGUCAAUUAAAAAUGAUUUAUAUUUACAGAUUGCUAAAGAUCAACUGAAAAAUAAUUCAGCCAAUUAUAACUUGAAAAUGUGUUGUACUUAUGAGUGGGGAGCAAGUUUGGCUACAUUGACUGUCGUGUUCAUAUGUUGGCUAGAGUUAAUUUUGCAAUGGAAAUUAAAUGUGCUUUGAGCAAAUGAAGGAAAUACAUCAGCUGGAAACUCUCCACAUAUAAAUCUAAAUUUGACUUUGGUCUAAGAAAACACGCAGAGUUAUGAUAGUUUUUUACACUAUGUUUGUCUCAGAUGAUUACCUUUUAAAAAUGCUUUCAGUAGAAUGCUUCUAGGUGCCAUUGUACUGUUGUAAUGUGUAGUAAUUUAUACUAUUAAUGGCCUGAAAACAAAUAUAUAGCAAACUUCUCCAUUAACUAAAAUCAAAUUUUAUUAAAAAGGAUGCUGUGAUGUGAAAUUACUGUGUUUAUUUUUAAAUUAAGCAUUAUGCUGGCACAUAUUAAAUGUGCAAUUGAAUGGUACAUGUAUUAUGCAUAUACUGUACACUACUUCUGCUACAUUUAUUAUUAGUUGCAAACACAAACUAUCUUAAAAAAACUAUGACUUUUUGUUAGUCAUAGUUACUUAGGAAAGUGCUGAUGACAUUAAUUGUAAUUUUACAGUUAGGUGGUAAUUGUGAUCAGUUAUUGUUACCUACAUGAUGGAGAAAAAAUGUACCCUUACUAUUGGUCUAUAUUUUCAUGGGAGAUCAAACAAAUGAGGUUUACUACUAGACACUAAAGUGCUAUUUACAGGACUCGAUGCUGCCAACUGUAAGUCUGGAAUCAAGUUACAGUUCAGAGUUAUUAUGGGAGUGUGUUGCAUAUUUCUCAAAUUAAAUGCAUCUCUGUAAUGAAUCGUGUGGACUAAUCUGACCCAGUAUUAUGUUUUUCUCAAUGCAUGUUGGUUGCUUCACUGUUCUAUAUUUAACUCGGAAAUCUGACAGUUGUCUGCACGCACUGUCUCAUGAGCCUGCAUGUCAACAUUAGACUGCAAUGAAAAUGGAAGUAUACCUGUAUGCCAUGCUAUCAGCUAUUUGCAAGCUGCAUGAUACCCAGUAAUGCUGAUCAGGGGAUGUCUCUGUGGUUUCUUAAUGGAGCUGUUAAAAGCAAGCAGAAUGCUUCCUUCACUGUAAUCAGACAAUACAUUAUAUAAAUAUGUUCAAUAACAAUAAAGUUAGACAUC
Long non-coding RNA from Alligator mississippiensis (American alligator), 2984 nucleotides. RefSeq lists it as uncharacterized. The transcript is spliced from 6 exons. NCBI's taxonomy places the organism in Eukaryota, Metazoa, Chordata, Crocodylia, Alligatoridae. The record is from RefSeq and is a predicted model, not a curated record.